This is a non-coding RNA of Collybiopsis luxurians FD-317 M1, 93 nucleotides long. NCBI's taxonomy places the organism in Eukaryota, Fungi, Basidiomycota, Agaricomycetes, Agaricales, Omphalotaceae. The record is from the annotation of a GenBank genome assembly.
AGUUUUAUAGCUCAGUGGUAAGAGCCCCCGCACCUCUUAGUGUCUUGCAACAUGGUCAUGUGAGAGGCCUGGGUUUGAUUCCCCAUGGAACCG